This 1433-nucleotide ribosomal RNA is filed under the name uncultured organism. RNAcentral describes it as "16S ribosomal RNA". It matches the Rfam family "Bacterial small subunit ribosomal RNA". The record is from RNAcentral.
AACGCUAGCUACAGGCUUAACACAUGCAAGUCGACGUUCAGCAUUUCAGUUUGCUUGCAAACUGGAGAUGGCGACCGGCGCACGGGUGAGUAACACGUAUCCAACCUGCCGAUCACUCGGGGAUAGCCUUUCGAAAGAAAGAUUAAUACCCGAUGGAAUAAUCAGACCGCAUGGUCUUGUUAUUAAAGAAUUUCGGUUAUCGAUGGGGAUGCGUUCCAUUACGCAGUUGGUGAGGUAACGGCUCACCAAACCUUCGAUGGAUAGGGGUUCUGAGAGGAAGGUCCCCCACAUUGGAACUGAGACACGGUCCAAACUCCUACGGGAGGCAGCAGUGAGGAAUAUUGGUCAAUGGGCGCAGGCCUGAACCAGCCAAGUAGCGUGGGGGGGGACUGCCCUAUGGGUUGUAAACUUCUUUUAUAUGGGAAUAAAGUUUUCCACGUGUGGAAUUUUGUAUGUACCAUAUGAAUAAGGAUCGGCUAACUCCGUGCCAGCAGCCGCGGUAAUACGGAGGAUCCGAGCGUUAUCCGGAUUUAUUGGGUUUAAAGGGAGCGUAAGUGGACAGUUUAAAUCACUUGUGAAAGUUUGCGGCUCACCCGUAAAAUUGCAGUUGAUAUUGGGCGGUUUUGAGUUCAGUAGAGGUGGGCGGAAAUUGGUGGUGUAGCGGUGAAAUGCUUAGAUAUCACGAAGAACUCCGAUUGCGAAGGCAGCUCACUGGACUGCAACUGACACUGAUGCUCGAAAGUGUGGGGUAUCAAACAGGAUUAGAUACCCUGGUAGUCCACACAGUAAACGAUGAAUACUCGCUGUUUGCGAUAUACAGUAAGCGGCCAAGCGAAAGCAUUAAGUAUUCCACCUGGGGAGUACGCCGGCAACGGUGAAACUCAAAGGAAUUGACGGGGGCCCGCACAAGCGGAGGAACAUGUGGUUUAAUUCGAUGAUACGCGAGGAACCUUACCCGGGCUUAAAUUGCAUUUGAAUAUAUUGGAAACAGUAUAGCCGUAAGGCAAAUGUGAAGGUGCUGCAUGGUUGUCGUCAGCUCGUGCCGUGAGGUGUCGGCUUAAGUGCCAUAACGAGCGCAACCCUUAUCUUUAGUUACUAACAGGUCAUGCUGAGGACUCUAGAGAGACUGCCGUCGUAAGAUGUGAGGAAGGUGGGGAUGACGUCAAAUCAGCACGGCCCUUACGUCCGGGGCUACACACGUGUUACAAUGGGGGGUACAGAAGGCAGCUACCUGGUGACAGGAUGCUAAUCCCAAAAGCCUCUCUCAGUUCGGAUCGAAGUCUGCAACCCGACUUCGUGAAGCUGGAUUCGCUAGUAAUCGCGCAUCAGCCAUGGCGCGGUGAAUACGUUCCCGGGCCUUGUACACACCGCCCGUCAAGCCAUGAAAGCCGGAGGUACAAAAAGUACGUAACCGCAAGGAGCGUCCUAGGGUA